Molecule: small nucleolar RNA, 98 nt
Filed under: Gouania willdenowi (blunt-snouted clingfish)
Lineage: Eukaryota; Metazoa; Chordata; Actinopteri; Blenniiformes; Gobiesocidae
Description: Small nucleolar RNA SNORD16 (ENSGWIG00000006247.1)
Rfam family: Small nucleolar RNA SNORD16
About the family: U16 is a member of the C/D class of snoRNA which contain the C (UGAUGA) and D (CUGA) box motifs. U81 acts as a guanine methylation guide and is found in an intron of ribosomal proteins L1 gene in animals.
Source: Rfam by way of RNAcentral
UGCUGUGAUGGUGUAAUUUGCGUCUGACUCUGUGUCCAGUGACAGUUGCCUUCUGUUAUACGCUGGCACAGACAGUUGAUGAACAAUGAGUCUGAGCA